GGGACUUGUCUGCAUAUCCAGCACAGGAAGAAUGCAGAGCAGCUGGAGCAGGUCCAGAGGAGUGCCAUGAAAGGUGCUCAGAGGGCUGGAGUACCUCUCCUAGGGGAAGAGGUUGAGGGAGCUGGGCUUUUUCAGCCUGGAGAAGAGAAGGCUGCAGGGAGACCUCAUUGUGGCCUUCCAGUACCUGAAGGGAGCUUACAGGCAGGGGGGGGACUGACUUUUUACACUGACUGAUGGUGAUAGGACAAAGGGGAAUGGCUUUAACCUAAAGAAGGGAGAUUCAGGUUAAAUGUUGGGAAGAAAUUCUUCACUCAGAGGGUGGUGAGACCUGGGCACCCUGAUCUGGUGAGGGGCUUUAAGGUCCCUUCCAGCUAAACCAUGCUAUGAUUGUCUCAGUUCAAAUGGGAACAGCUUUGAGCUGCAGUUCUUCCUGAGUUGUUCUUGCUGCAGGAAACCCCGAGUAUCUAGAAGUGCAAUCCUUCCCCCCGAGGAGAUCACAGGGCCUGGCCUGCAGCCCGGCCCAGUUCUGCCUGUUCCUCUUUCCUUAGCGCCUUGCUCCCCUUGCAUGAGUUUUUGCAUGGGAGGAGAGGUUUGCUCUUCUGCUCCAGGCUUAGCUUGUGCUGCACCUCGAGGAGACCUCAUUGAGACCUGCUGCACCGUCUGUGCACAAACACCCCCUCUUUUGGGGGGAGGCUGAUCCGGCCCAGCCGCAUGAUCGCAGUCAGGUGACGACAUUGAGCACGGAAGCGGUGCGGGAUAAGCAGCUCAGUGAGGGAGAUCAGCUGCUGUCCCGGCCCCUCCGCGAGCUGUUCGUGCUCAGGGAAAAUGAGCACCUGGCCCCCUUCUCUGCUCUGGAGCUUGACCACGGCAUGUCUGACAGGUAUUGCUUUAGGCCAGACAGCCACCACCCAGGCCCCUGUUGCAUCAACCCCGCUACUUCUGAGUGCAGCUACCACCCAAGUCCCCGUUCCACCAAUCCCUAUUGCCACUGCAACCUCAGCUCCCACAUCCCCAUCUGCUGCUGGGAUGCUCUCAGCAAGAACGGUGACAAAUCUCACCACCCCUACAGUUGUGCCAUCUGCUGUCUCAAGCACAAACCCUCCCACUCCAGCUCUGCCCACCACCCCACGCAUCGCCGUGCUCACCUCUGGGACUGCAACCACCCCUCAUGCACCCACAGCACUAAUGGCCACAUCCAGCAGUGCCUGGGCUAGCCCUCCAGAUGUAACUGCAUCUCCUGGGGUCCCAUCAGCGAUCCCACCCCUCAGCACCACUGAGCCCUCAAACUGCAGCAGAGUGAAUGUGACAGCAUGUACUCCUUGCUCCCCAGGGACCAUUCCCAGCAAUGACACCUGGAGCUGCUCGUGCUGCUCAGAGGGCUCAUGUGUGGACCCUGGUGCCUGUGCUCCUUGCCCGGCGGGGCACUACCACCCUGUGAGGGGACAGCAGCAGUGCCUGCCGUGUCCAAAGGGACAUUACACCAACACUACCAACAGCACCGUGUGCUCACCCUGCCCACCUGGCCACUAUGCCAACGAGUCAGGGGCCACAGCCUGCAGCGUGUGCCAGAAAGGUUAUUUUAGCUCACAGCAAAAUGCAGCUUUUUGUCUGCCUUGCCUGCCUGGAUCGUUCUGCAACACCACCAGCUGCACUCUGUGUCUGGCCUGUCCUGCUGGGCGUGAGGCUCCACAUGAGGCUGCUGAGGGGUGUACGCUGUGCCGGGCAGGUACGUUCAAAGGUCUGAGUGAUGACGCCUGCAAGCCCUGCAAGCCAGGGGAAUACCAACUGCAGUGGGGCCAAGAGAGCUGUGACCUGUGCCCAGAGAACCACUACUGCCCCAGCCCAGAUGUGAACCCUAUCAAGUGCCCUCCUGAUGCCUUCUGCCUCGUGGGCAGCACCGCGCCCCAGUACUGCAUGGAGGUCUUCCUGUACAAGGUGGGCAGCUCCUGCCAGCUGACGCCACUGGUGAUAGUCCUCCUGGCCCUCUUCUCAGCAGGUGCAAUUCUUAUAAUCUUUGUACUAAUUCUGAGAAGAAGGCAAGAAUACAGCACAAAGUCUUUGAAGUCCCUGUUGCUACCACGAGGAUCAGAGCAGCACACAACGUAUGGAGUGAUGGAGCACACAGAGCCCGUGUAUGCUGGCUGGUAG
Molecule: long non-coding RNA, 2148 nt
Organism: Chrysolophus pictus (golden pheasant)
Lineage: Eukaryota; Metazoa; Chordata; Aves; Galliformes; Phasianidae
Source: Ensembl